UAUCAGCCUUAUUGUGAAACCCUCCCUUGUUAUUAUAAAACCUCCAAAAUACACUUAAACCGACAACAAAUUCCUCAGAGCUUCAAGCGAGGAAAAUAGGUGAAGCUUGAUUCAAAGUUGUGAAAUAUUUGAGAAAACUGCCAACAUGGUUGGGUGGAAUGAAAGAACUCCGGGAAAAAUAAACAAGUUGGGUUUGGCGGAAAACCCUAUGAAGCCUUCGCCGGUCAAAACAAGAGCAUCUCCCCCAAAAAGGUUUAGCAAUAAGGUGGACAUGAGAGCGGAAUCAAUUGGGUUCCUCCAGACAGGCUUAGAUUCCAUCAAAAGUGGCACUAAACAAAUAAAGGAGAAUUUAAAGUCUAGGAAACUUUCAUUGACAGCCAUACCUCCCAUCUCAGCCUUUGGUGAAUUACCAGGCUUAAAAUCGAUAUCAAUGUUUGGAAAUUCCUCCGGUCCGGGCUCAACUUCCGCGACAGGCCAAUCCUCACAGCAAGGAAAAUUCACCAGGUCAGGCUCAUCUUACGGGACAAGCCAAUCUUCCUACCAAACCCCUGAUGAAAGUUAUUACGAUAGAAUGAAAUCAAGGCUAGAAAGUUCCUUCAGAUUGGACUCACCUUCCGGGACAGAUCAAUCUUCCCUCCCACCCAAUGAUAAUUCAACGGUAGGAAGUUCCUCCAGGUUGGGCUCAUAAAAAAAAAGCAGCAAACAAAACUAGGGAAAAAAAAGAAGGAACUCUUUUAAUGUCAUAGUGAUCAGCCAAAUGAUCAAUCAUUGCAAUUAGUACUACCAACCAACCAUAAUAAAAUAUGGAACUCUUUUAAUGUCAUGUCUAAAUAAUGUCUAGCAACUAUUGUGGAGAAAUAAUAUCCCUUUACUAGUGCUAGCCAAUGUUAUGUUCUUGUAUCUUCUUUUUAUUUUAUUUUACUUUUUGCUCCAUCGAUUUGUCUUUCAUUUUAAUCUUCCAAAUUUGAUUACAAUAUCUAUCUAUUAUU
Lathyrus oleraceus (garden pea) is the source of this 989-nucleotide long non-coding RNA. RefSeq lists it as uncharacterized. NCBI's taxonomy places the organism in Eukaryota, Viridiplantae, Streptophyta, Magnoliopsida, Fabales, Fabaceae. The record is from RefSeq and is a predicted model, not a curated record. The transcript has 2 exons.